AUUGAACGCUGGCGGCAUGCUUUACACAUGCAAGUCGAACGGCAGCACGGGAGUAAGUCUGGUGGCGAGUGGCGAACGGGUGAGUAAAGUAUCGGAACGUGCCCAGUCGUGGGGGAUAACGUAGCGAAAGUUACGCUAAUACCGCAUACGAUCUAUGGAUGAAAGCGGGGGUCGCAAAGACCCCGGCGGAUUGGAGGGGCGGAUACCAGAUUAGGUAGUUGGUGGGGUAAAGGCUCACCAAGCCAACAAUCUGUAGCUGGUCUGAGAGGACGACCAGCCACACUGGAACUGAGACACGGCCCAGACUCCUACGGGAGGCAGCAGUGGGGAAUUUUGGACAAUGGGCGAAAGCCUGAUCCAGCCAUGCCGCGUGCAGGAUGAAGGCCUUCGGGUUGUAAACUGCUUUUGUACAGAACGAAAAGGUUUCUGCUAAUACUAUGAGCUCAUGACGGUACCGUAAGAAUAAGCACCGGCUAACUACGUGCCAGCAGCCGCCGUAA
RNAcentral lists this ribosomal RNA (500 nucleotides) under uncultured bacterium. RNAcentral's name for it is "partial 16S ribosomal RNA". It matches the Rfam family "Bacterial small subunit ribosomal RNA", at positions 30 to 523 of the family's 1533-position model. The record is from RNAcentral.